Molecule: long non-coding RNA, 610 nt
Filed under: Hordeum vulgare
Lineage: Eukaryota; Viridiplantae; Streptophyta; Magnoliopsida; Poales; Poaceae
Description: long non-coding RNA (HVUL_LNC001800)
Source: RNAcentral
CCUUUUAACCAGCACUUUUUCUUAGCUUUGGCCGUUUGCCCGAAGCGUUCCAACAAACACCCCUCCCAGCCAAUAGUAGCCUGCCACGCAUACCCUCUGUUAGCUACUAGUAGUUUUAUUUUUUUUCUGUCUAUAUUACAAAAACAGAAACUUCUUGUUUUGUUUUGGCCCCAACUUUUUAUCCCGAAGUCCAAUGACAUUGAUUCUUUCUCCAGUAACUCACAAAUUCCCUGUAGUUUUUAAAAACAUAUAAUUUGUCUAUGUUUGAAAUUUUCAAAUAUAAGUUAGAGCAGAUUUAGUUUAAACCUUGUUUUGCCUAUUCCAGGAGUUUGCAAAACGAUUUUGAGUUGAUUCUUUUUGCUACUGCUUUCUAGUGAUAAAAUCUUACUGUGGUAGAAGUUUCAGAAUUUUUAAAGUAUUUUUACUGGUGUUUUCAACAGAAACAAGUUUCUGCCAUACCGGCGCACGUUGAAUUCUUUCGCGUAGUCUUUAGCAAAUCCUUGCAUUUGAUGUUAUUUUUACUUGUGGCUUGAUUGAAGUGCUUAUGGUCUGCUUUGUGUUUGUAUCGGUAGAUCAUCCGGAGUGCGAAGCGUGUUACUUAGAAGCGCUC